RNAcentral lists this ribosomal RNA (381 nucleotides) under uncultured bacterium. Its description in RNAcentral is "bacterial SSU rRNA". It matches the Rfam family "Bacterial small subunit ribosomal RNA", at positions 28 to 405 of the family's 1533-position model. The record is from RNAcentral.
GACGAACGCUGGCGGCGUGCUUAACACAUGCAAGUCGAGCGGUAAGGCCCUUUCGGGGGUACGACGAGCGGCGAACGGGUGAGUAACACGUGGGUGACCUGCCCUCAGCUCUGGGAUAAAGCCUGGGAAACCGGGUCUAAUACUGGAUAUGACUCCAUGACGCAUGUUGUGGGGGUGGAAAGCCUUGUGCGGCUGAGGAUGGGCCCGCGGCCUAUCAGCUUGUUGGUGGGGUGAUGGCCUACCAAGGCGACGACGGGUAGCCGGCCUGAGAGGGCGACCGGCCACACUGGGACUGAGACACGGCCCAGACUCCUACGGGAGGCAGCAGUGGGGAAUUUUUGGACAAUGGGCGAAAGACCUGAUCCAGCCAUGCCGCGUGUG